GUUGACUAAACAUGAAAAUUUCUCCGAUAGCUUUCUCCCUUCUCCUCACUCUUAUAUCGCCGGUUCUUCUACGUUGCUCCGGCGAUUUCACCGGUAGCGUCGAGGAUGAAUCUCCGCCGACCGUAUGUAUAGUCGGGAGUGGGAUCGGAGGCUCAUCCGUAGCUCACUUCCUCCGUAGCUACUCUGUUUCCACCGGCUUAAAUCGAGCCAAGAUCCUAAUGUUUGAGCGUCACGAGAUAGUCGGUGGACGUAUGAGAACAGUUACUGUCUCCGGUGAUGUUUUCGAGGCCGGUGGUUCGAUUCUGCAUCCGAAGAACUAUCACGUUAAGGAUUUCGUCGAGAGGUUUAAUCUGACGGUUCGAUUGCCGACUCCGAUUGAAGAAUCUUCAGCGAUUGGAAUCUGGGAUGGGAAGAGUUUUAUUGUUAAAACAUUCGGUUCCCGUAUCAAAUUCCCGUUUUUGGAUACGAUCGUGUCUUGGUUGAAUGAUCUCUACUUGUUCUUGCGUUAUGGGUUCUCACUGUUGAGAAUGAGCAGCUUCAUUGAGAAUACAGUUGAUAAUUUCUUGAAGUACUAUGAAAGUUUAGAGUCAAGACCUAUCUUCGACAAUGUUGAAGGGAUGCUUAAAUGGUCAGGAUUGUACAAUCUCACAAAGCUCACUCUACAAGAGAAAUUAUCUGAAGCUCAGCUUUCUCCUUUACUAGUCAACGAGCUGGUUACAGUUAUUACAAGGAUAAACUAUGGACAGAGUGUACUCAUCAGUGGACUAGCAGGUGCAGUCUCCAUGGCGGGUUCAGGUGGUGGUUUAUGGUCUGUUGAAGGCGGAAACUGGCAGAUGGCUGCAAAGCUGAUUAAUCAUUCAGAUGUUACAUUACACCUGAACGAGAAAAUUGAAUCCAUAUCACAUCUCGGUAAGUAUUACGAGCUUAAGUCCACAAAAGGAAACAGCUUCAAGUGCGAUGUCACGGUAGUUGCCACACCAUUAGACGAGGUGGAUAUACAGUUCUCACCCGAGAUCUCAAUUCCAAAGAGGGAAUUACAACACACACACGCAACAUUCGUGAGAGGACUUUUAAAUCCAGGAUAUUUUGGGAUGAAAUCAGUUUCUGAUGUUCCAGCUUUGGUGGGAACACUUGAAGAUCCUCUAAUUCCAUUCUCAAGCAUCUCAAUUCUAAGGAAGUAUAGUGACACAGAUAUGACAUACAAGAUAUUUACGCGACAAACUGCAUCAGAUUCAUUGCUUGAUGAGCUCUUCAGUACGAGAACCGAAACCAUUCGAAUAGACUGGGGUGCAUAUCCCAAGUACCACGCGCCUGAAGUAUUUGCACCGUUCAUAUUAGAUGAUCAUCACUUGUACUAUGUGAAUGCUUUUGAAAACGCAGCAAGCACAAUGGAGACAAGUGCAGUAGCUGGUGAGAACAUUGCCAGACUCAUAAUAUCCAGAUUCAUGACAAAAGAAUCAUCAUCUUCAUCCUCGGACAAAAGAAGCUGUAGUUCUGGUCUGCACUCAGACUUAUAAGCAACUCUUGACUGUGAUCUUUGAAGAAGAAAAUGAUGUUGUGUAUAUAGACACAUAAAGCUGUAAAAACUGUAACCUAAGCGUUAUGAUGAAGAGUCCUGUAAAGAUCCCAUUUUUUCAGGAACAGACGCGUCUUCUUCUUGUUCUUCUUUGGUAAAAGAAAUCAGAAGCGAAGAAGAAGAGGUCAAAUUCGAUUCGAUCGGAGAAGAUGGGUUGCUUCAGUUGCUUCGACGGAACCCAAAAACAACAGCGUAAGGAAGAAGAGAGACAAGCCUCCGCUGAAGCUCGCGCCAGAGCCGCCGAAGCUGCACAGCGACGGAAAGAGCAGUUUGAUAAGUCUGCAGCUGGAAGAGCAGCACAAGCUCAAUUAAAGCAAAUGGCUAAACAAUCUGCAAAUACUAACAAAGGAGAGCCUGUUCUUAAGUGGCAAAUGACGUAACUAUGAAGUCCUGGUUUCAUAAGCUCACCCGAAUUGUGAGAUUGUUCCAUUGUAAAUUGUGUACACUUUUAUGUUUGCAAGUCUUUUUAAUGUGAAUGGGAGGCUUAUUAUAUUCUUCCUUGUUCAUCUUAUUAUCUUUUGAAUUUGCAAUAAACGUAAAAAACAGAGUUCAAUGUUUAAGAUCA
Molecule: non-coding RNA, 2141 nt
Organism: Camelina sativa (false flax)
Lineage: Eukaryota; Viridiplantae; Streptophyta; Magnoliopsida; Brassicales; Brassicaceae
Source: RefSeq, a predicted model, not a curated record